RNAcentral lists this small nuclear RNA (147 nucleotides) under Otolemur garnettii (small-eared galago). RNAcentral describes it as "U1 spliceosomal RNA (ENSOGAG00000032708.1)". Lineage: Eukaryota; Metazoa; Chordata; Mammalia; Primates; Galagidae. The record is from RNAcentral.
AAAGUAAAAGGGGAGAUAACCAUGAUCAUGAAAGUUUGCCUAUGUCAAGGUUUAUCUACUGCACUUCAGAUGCCUACGAUUUCCGCACAGGUGAGAAACUUGACUGCCUAAUUUGUAGUAAUGGGAGACUGCAUGUACAUGGUCCCU